GAGGAUAUAGUUCAGUGGUAGAGCACAUGCUUAGCAUGCACAAGGUCCUGGGUUCAAUCUCCGGUACCUCCA
RNAcentral lists this transfer RNA (72 nucleotides) under Camelus bactrianus (Bactrian camel). It matches the Rfam family "tRNA". From Rfam's summary of the family: Transfer RNA (tRNA) molecules are approximately 80 nucleotides in length. Their secondary structure includes four short double-helical elements and three loops (D, anti-codon, and T loops). The record is from Rfam by way of RNAcentral. Lineage: Eukaryota; Metazoa; Chordata; Mammalia; Artiodactyla; Camelidae. RNAcentral also lists the same sequence under 2 other names.